ACUUAACCUUCUCUUCUUUGCUGUGGUCACUGCCACUGACCCUGUCCCUAAAUUACCUGGUUCCGCAACUUCGUCUUAUUAUUCUGGAGGCAAAUGUGAUCUCUUGAAGUUAGGAGUAUGUGCCAAUGUGCUUAACCUGGUUGAUGUGGUUGUCGGAUCCCCUCCAACGCUGCCAUGCUGCAGUCUCAUCGAAGGCCUUGUCGAUCUUGAAGCGACUCUUUGUCUAUGUACCGCCAUUAGAGCCAACAUUCUGGGAAUUGACUUAAAUGUUCCUAUCGCACUCAGCUUGGUUCUUAAUAACUGCGGCAAGAAAGUCCCGAGUGGCUUUGAAUGUUACUAGAACAUCUUCUUGGUGGUCUGAUAAGCAUGUUUAAUUUUUUUAUCUUUAUAAUUUUUAUUUGAUGUUUACCGUUUGUAAACAAAAUGUAUGGUUUGUUUCCCAUUGAGGGCAUCUCAUCAAUUCCCUUUGUUCGGGUCCUUUUGAGGUGCCAUUUUGGGUUAUUCCUUUGGUUGAGUUUGAGUUCCAACAAAAUUUAAAUUCAUGAUUCCGAGUAAAAAACUAAUCGUUUGAUCACUUCCUCUUACUAAAGUGAAGGUUUUAGUCAUUAAGAGACAACUACCUCCUACGCUCAUUUUUUAUAUGCGAACAUUUUGUUGUUUACGUUUGUAACUAGAAAUUGUAAAGUUUUCUUACCAAAAAAAAAAAAGAAAUAGUAAAGUUUAGUUCAGUUUCUAACCGCAAAACCCAAACACCGGAGUAUUGGAGUAAGAAAACAUGGUUUGAAUGUUUGAUAAGAACAUCUUUUCUGGCGUUGUAAGAAUAACAUUGACGUUGUCGCAAGUUGGCUACAAUAAUACUAAAAUAAUAAAUUUAAAUAAUUUGUUGAUUUGCUCCGGACGAUAAUUACUGACUCUAUUUAAAAUAGAAUAUAUUAUAAUUAUUUUGGGUUUAAAUAAACUACAUAAUUUCUUCAAAACAGUUCACUAUCCUGAAGAUUCGAGAUAGAUUUUAUCAAUCAAUUGAGUUGAGAAAACAAUCCAUCGGAGUCGGUAUUCUUUUUUACGUAUAGUAUUCGCUCGUAUUUUUAUUUAUAAUAUCAAAUCUUGUUUUAAUUUUAAUUAAAAAUUGUAUCGUUAGAGUGAAUAUUCUUUAUAUUUUCAUUUGGAAUAUAUUUUAUCUAGUUUUAAUUAAAAAAAAUAUUAUUUGAUUAAAAAUGAUCCCAGAAAUCUUUAAGAAACUUGGGCUGGAUCGCUGUUAAAUGGAAUGGCAUGACAUUCAAUUAUAUUUCGACUUGUUUUACCUGAUCGAUCGACGUCUUUAAUUUGAUAUCCAGACCAUAUUAAUUCUAACAAAUUAAAAAUUAACAGGAUUGAACUUCGUAAAUACAGGGAGAAGAGUACUUCGAUUAUAAUAGAUCACGCACCCAGUACGUACAAAUCUUUUACAAACAGUUGUAUAAUAAAAUAAUAAUAAUAAAGAAUGCAUAUAUUGCCGGAGGAUCACCGUGCAGAGAACUAUCUUAGUAACAUUCAAAGCCGGACGGGACUUCCUUCCCGCAAUUAUUAAGAACUAAACUGAGUGCAACAGGCAUAUUCAAGUCAAUUCCCAAAAUAUUGGCUCUGAUGGCCGUACACAAGCAAAGAGCAGCUUCAAGAUCGACAAGACCUUCAAUGAGACUGCAGCAUGGUAGCGUUGGAGGUGAUCCCACCACAACAUCAACCAAGUUAAGCACAUUGGCACACACUCCUAACUUCAAUAGAUCACAUUUACCUCCAGAAUAAUAAGACGAAGUUGCGGAAUCCGGUAGAUUAGGGACAGAGUCAGUGGCACUGACCACAGCAAAGAAGAGAAGGUUGAGUGAGAGAAGAAGGGUUAAUGAAGAAGUGUUCUUGGAUUCCAUUUCCGAAAUCUGGUUGAUGUUUCUUUUAUCAGGUUCUGGUAAUUAAAUUUGUAGAAAAGGAUUAGUGUAUGUGUUCUGCUGAUGGAUCUUGUAGUUAGGAUGAAACACAUAUUUAUAGUCUUUAUGGUCUUCCUUACUAGAGUCUUCCAAGCAAGAAAGCCCGGCCGGAUAACGUUGGCACGUCUAAGUAAUAGUAAGUAUAAUAGAAACAUGAGGGACAUGUGCAUUGAUAUAUCAUAAAUCCUCUCUAGCUUAAGAAAUUCCUUGACACAUUACACAAAGAUCAAUUCAGUUGUCUAGAACUAUAGAAAUAUUACCAUUUCUUUUUUAGUUUCAGGGAUAUUGAGCUGGCUAUUACUUAAUGAAUGAUUAAGAAACAGCCUAUAGUCCCCAGCACGUCCAUGUAUUAUACAUUCGCUGCAUGUAUUUGAAGAGAGAGUGCCAAUAUUAUGAUUAAUAUCAAUCUUCUGCAUGUAGUUAUCUAAUUAUAUAUAUGCACAUGUUCCUCCUGUUUCUUAAACUAAUACUUUCCGGGAUUUUUGUAUAUUACAGAUUUACAGUUGCUAAAGAUCAUAUAAGACGUGCUAACCUUGCCUUAAUUAUCGUAGAUACUAAUCACAUAGCUAUAUUUAUAAUACCUUCUUGGAUUUACAAACCACAGUAUGCAAAUAUUCUACAUUUUUUAAAACCUUAUAAAUAUGCAAUUCAAUUUAGCUACGAAGUCCAUCAGCAAAGACACAAACACAUCUUUCACAGAGCAACAUAAUUACUAGAAACGACUUAGAGCGACAUUACCCAACCAGGUUUCUGAAAAUGGAAUGCAAGAACAGUACUUCUUCAUUAGCCCUUCUUCUCUCACUUAACCUUCUCUUCUUUGCUGUGGUCACUGCCACUGACCCUGUCCCUAAAUUACCUGGUUCUACAACUUCGUCCUAUUAUUCUGGAGGCAAAUGUGAUCUAUUGAAGUUAGGAGUGUGUGCCAAUGUGCUUAACCUGGUUGAUGUCGUUGUUGGAUCCCCUCCAACGCUGCCAUGCUGCAGCCUCAUUGAAGGCCUUGUCGAUCUUGAAGCUGCUCUUUGUCUAUGUACUGCCAUUAGAGCCAAC
This 3005-nucleotide long non-coding RNA is filed under the name Daucus carota (carrot). RNAcentral describes it as "long non-coding RNA (DCAR_LNC001603)". Lineage: Eukaryota; Viridiplantae; Streptophyta; Magnoliopsida; Apiales; Apiaceae. The record is from RNAcentral.